CCAAACUCCGCCCCUCCCGCCCCGCCCCCCCCGCGGCGGUCAGCGCAGGCGCACUUCCAGGCCCGUCCGGGAGCGCUCUCUGCUCUCCGGGUUGGCUGCCCGGUUGCUGCCUGCUGGCUGCAUCCUUCCUUGCAACCUCUGGUGCCUUCCUCUCCAAGCUCUAAGGCCGGUGUCACAGAUGCGAUAUCUGUUCCUGGUUUCCGAAAUAAGCUGAGGGCUCGGCAGCUCUACAGCCCUCUGCUAGGUUUCCUGCAGCUCCUGUCAAAAUACAAAUCCUACCUCAUCGCAUUGAAGCGACUUUCGCACCUGCUUGCCAACCUUUAAACUAAUUGUUUGGCUAACCUGGUGCGGCGAUCCAUCCAACAGAAGUAAAAUCCCAGAACCCUUCUGUGCCAAUAAAGCACUGGACGCAACAGUCUGACAUAUAGUAGAUUUAAAUAAAUGAUUGUCCAGUC
Molecule: long non-coding RNA, 455 nt
Organism: Panthera uncia (snow leopard)
Lineage: Eukaryota; Metazoa; Chordata; Mammalia; Carnivora; Felidae
Exons: 2
Source: RefSeq, a predicted model, not a curated record